This is a non-coding RNA of Paenibacillus sp., 87 nucleotides long. Lineage: Bacteria; Bacillati; Bacillota; Bacilli; Caryophanales; Paenibacillaceae. The record is from Rfam.
UAACCGCGGCUGAGAAGCCGCGUUGAAUCCGCAGGAGUCAGCAGAGGUCAUAGUACGGGAGUACGGGACGCCGGGAACCGGAAGGAC